This 402-nucleotide ribosomal RNA is filed under the name Bacteroidota bacterium. RNAcentral describes it as "Bacteroidetes bacterium partial 16S ribosomal RNA". It matches the Rfam family "Bacterial small subunit ribosomal RNA", at positions 355 to 776 of the family's 1533-position model. Lineage: Bacteria; Pseudomonadati; Bacteroidota. The record is from RNAcentral.
UGGGGAAUUUUGCACAAUGGGGGAAACCCUGAUGCAGCGACGCCGCGUGAUUUAGAAGGCCUUCGGGUUGUAAAAAUCUCUUCUAUGGGAAGAAAAUGACAGUACCAUAGGAAUAAGGACCGGCUAAUUACGUGCCAGCAGCCGCGGUAAUACGUAAGGUCCGAGCGUUGUCCGGAACCAUUGGGCGUAAAGGGUACGUAGGCGGGUAAGCAAGUUAGAAGUGAAAUCCUGUAGCUCAACUACAUUAAGCUUUUAAAACUGCUCAUCUUGAGAUAUGGAAGGGAAAGUGUAAUUCCUAGUGUAGCGGUGAAAUUCGCUGGUAUUAGGAGGACUACCGGUGGCGAAGGCGACUUUCUGGCCAUAAUCUGACGCUGAGGUACGAAAGCGUGGGUAGCAAACAGG